Chelonoidis abingdonii (Abingdon island giant tortoise) is the source of this 107-nucleotide non-coding RNA. The record is from RefSeq and is a predicted model, not a curated record. Lineage: Eukaryota; Metazoa; Chordata; Testudines; Testudinidae.
AAAAAUCUGUCUGGGGAUUGGUCCUGCUUUGAGCAGGGGCUUGGACUAGAUGACUUCCUGAGGUCCCUUCAACCGCUGAUAUUCUAUGUUUCUGGGAUUUAAAAGUG